AAGUCGUAACAAGGUUUCCGUAGGUGAACCUGCGGAAGGAUCAUUACAAAAUAUGCUGUGGCUGUAGUGGAGUAGGAUGCGAAAGCUAACGAAUCCCUCAGUUACUUAGGCCCACUCCCGAAAGGGAGAUGGACAGCACGCAUUGACUUCUGUUAGUGUGUGUGACAUAGACUUUAAAUCAUGACUUAUUUCAUUAUUAAAUAACCAAAA
This 210-nucleotide unclassified non-coding RNA is filed under the name plant metagenome. RNAcentral describes it as "partial contains small subunit ribosomal RNA and internal transcribed spacer 1". The stretch from base 1 to 46 matches the Rfam family "Eukaryotic small subunit ribosomal RNA", at positions 1786 to 1831 of the family's 1831-position model. The record is from RNAcentral.